This 272-nucleotide ribosomal RNA is filed under the name uncultured bacterium. RNAcentral's name for it is "partial 16S ribosomal RNA". It matches the Rfam family "Bacterial small subunit ribosomal RNA", at positions 524 to 794 of the family's 1533-position model. The record is from RNAcentral.
UACGUAGGGGCAAGCGUACUACCGGAAUUACUGGGCGGUAAAGGGUGGCGUAGGCGGUUUAUCAAGUCAGGGGUGAAAGGCUACGGCUCAACCGUAGUGAGCCUCUGAAACUGGUGAACUUGAGUGUAGGAGAGGAAAGUGGAAUUCCCAGUGUAGCGGUGAAAUGCGUAGAUAUUGGGAGGAACACCAGUGGCGAAGGCGACUUUCUGGACUACAACUGACGCUGAGGCACGAAAGCGUGGGGAGCAAACAGGAUUAGAUACCCCGGUAGU